Molecule: ribosomal RNA, 520 nt
Filed under: uncultured bacterium
Lineage: Bacteria
Description: bacterial SSU rRNA
Rfam family: Bacterial small subunit ribosomal RNA
Source: RNAcentral
UUAGAGUUUGAUUCCCAUGGCUCAGAACGAACGCUGGCGGCGUGCCUCAUACAUGCAAGUCGAGCGAGAAAGUCUCCUUCGGGAGAUGAGUAAAGCGGCGGACGGGUGCGUAACACGUGAGUAAUCUGCCCUGAAGUGGGGGAUAAGCUCCCGAAAGGGGGUCUAAUACCGCAUAACUUCCCCUGAUGGCAUCAUCGGGGGAACAAAGGUGGCCUCUACUUGUAAGCUAUCGCUUCAGGAUGAGCUCGCGCUUCAUUAGCCUGUUGGUAGGGUAAUGGCCUACCAAAGCUACGAUGAAUAGCCGGCCUGAGAGGGUGUCCGGCCACACUGGGACUGAGAUACGGCCCAGACUCCUACGGGAGGCAGCAGUAGGGAAUAUUGGGCAAUGGGCGAAAGCCUGACCCAGCAACGCCGCGUGUGGGAUGAAGCUUCUUGGAGUGUAAACCACUGUCAGGAGGGACGAAUGANAACGGCAAUAAUAAGUCCGUAGUUUGACAGACCUCCAAAGGAAGUCCGCAAC